UACGAAGGGGGCUAGCGUUGCUCGGAAUCACUGGGCGUAAAGCGCACGUAGGCGGCUUUUUAAGUCAGGGGUGAAAUCCUGGAGCUCAACUCCAGAACUGCCUUUGAUACUGGGAAGCUUGAGUCCGGGAGAGGUGAGUGGAACUCCGAGUGUAGAGGUGAAAUUCGUAGAUAUUCGGAAGAACACCAGUGGCGAAGGCGACUGACUGGACAAGUAUUGACGCUGAGGUGCGAAAGCGUGGGGAGCAAACAGG
Molecule: ribosomal RNA, 253 nt
Filed under: uncultured bacterium
Lineage: Bacteria
Description: partial 16S ribosomal RNA
Rfam family: Bacterial small subunit ribosomal RNA
Source: RNAcentral